RNAcentral lists this ribosomal RNA (468 nucleotides) under uncultured bacterium. Its description in RNAcentral is "partial 16S ribosomal RNA". It matches the Rfam family "Bacterial small subunit ribosomal RNA", at positions 28 to 507 of the family's 1533-position model. The record is from RNAcentral.
GACGAACGCUGGCGGCGUGCUUAACACAUGCAAGUCGAACGGAAAGGCCCUGCUUUUGUGGGGUGCUCGAGUGGCGAACGGGUGAGUAACACGUGAGUAACCUGCCCUUGACUUUGGGAUAACUUCAGGAAACUGGGGCUAAUACCGGAUAGGAGCUCCUGCUGCAUGGUGGGGGUUGGAAAGUUUCGGCGGUUGGGGAUGGACUCGCGGCUUAUCAGCUUGUUGGUGGGGUAGUGGCUUACCAAGGCUUUGACGGGUAGCCGGCCUGAGAGGGUGACCGGCCACAUUGGGACUGAGAUACGGCCCAGACUCCUACGGGAGGCAGCAGUGGGGAAUAUUGCACAAUGGGCGGAAGCCUGAUGCAGCAACGCCGCGUGCGGGAUGACGGCCUUCGGGUUGUAAACCGCUUUAGCCUGUGACGAAGAGUGAGUGACGGUAAUGGGUAAAGAAGCACCGGCUAACUACGUG